This 265-nucleotide ribosomal RNA is filed under the name uncultured bacterium. RNAcentral's name for it is "partial 16S ribosomal RNA". It matches the Rfam family "Bacterial small subunit ribosomal RNA", at positions 524 to 788 of the family's 1533-position model. The record is from RNAcentral.
UACGGAGGGGGCUAGCGUUGUUCGGAAUUACUGGGCGUAAAGCGUACGUAGGCGGCCAUUCAAGUCAGAGGUGAAAGCCCGGGGCUCAACUCCGGAACUGCCUUUGAAACUAGGUGGCUUGAACACGGGAGAGGUGAGUGGAAUUCCGAGUGUAGAGGUGAAAUUCGUAGAUAUUCGGAAGAACACCAGUGGCGAAGGCGGCUCACUGGACCGUUGUUGACGCUGAGGUACGAAAGCGUGGGGAGCAAACAGGAUUAGAUACCCC